UACGGAGGGUGCAAGCGUUAUCCGGAUUCACUGGGUUUAAAGGGUGCGUAGGUGGGCAGGUAAGUCAGUGGUGAAAUCUCCGGGCUUAACCCGGAAACUGCCAUUGAUACUAUCAGUCUUGAAUACCGUGGAGGUAGGCGGAAUGCGUCGAUGUAGCGGUGAAAUGCUUAGAUAUGACGCAGAACACCAAUUGCGAAGGCAGCUUGCUACACUACUAUUGACACUGAGGCACGAAAGCGAUGGGGAUCG
This 249-nucleotide ribosomal RNA is filed under the name uncultured bacterium. RNAcentral's name for it is "partial 16S ribosomal RNA". It matches the Rfam family "Bacterial small subunit ribosomal RNA", at positions 524 to 770 of the family's 1533-position model. The record is from RNAcentral.